This 253-nucleotide ribosomal RNA is filed under the name uncultured bacterium. Its description in RNAcentral is "partial 16S ribosomal RNA". It matches the Rfam family "Bacterial small subunit ribosomal RNA", at positions 524 to 776 of the family's 1533-position model. The record is from RNAcentral.
UACAGAGGUCCCAAGCGUUGUUCGGAUUCACUGGGCGUAAAGGGUGCGUAGGUGGUGAGGUAAGUCGGAUGUGAAAGCUCGGAGCUCAACUCCGAAAUGGCAUUGGAAACUACCUCGCUCGAGGGUUGGAGGGGGGACUGGAAUACUUGGUGUAGCAGUGAAAUGCGUAGAUAUCAAGUGGAACACCAGUGGCGAAGGCGAGUCCCUGGACAACUCCUGACACUGAGGCACGAAAGCUAGGGGAGCAAACAGG